AUUGAACGCUGGCGGCAGGCCUAACACAUGCAAGUCGAGCGGUAGAGAGAAGCUUGCUUCUCUUGAGAGCGGCGGACGGGUGAGUAAAGCCUAGGAAUCUGCCUGGUAGUGGGGGAUAACGUUCGGAAACGGACGCUAAUACCGCAUACGUCCUACGGGAGAAAGCAGGGGACCUUCGGGCCUUGCGCUAUCAGAUGAGCCUAGGUCGGAUUAGCUAGUUGGUGAGGUAAUGGCUCACCAAGGCGACGAUCCGUAACUGGUCUGAGAGGAUGAUCAGUCACACUGGAACUGAGACACGGUCCAGACUCCUACGGGAGGCAGCAGUGGGGAAUAUUGGACAAUGGGCGAAAGCCUGAUCCAGCCAUGCCGCGUGUGUGAAGAAGGUCUUCGGAUUGUAAAGCACUUUAAGUUGGGAGGAAGGGCAUUAACCUAAUACGUUAGUGUUUUGACGUUACCGACAGAAUAAGCACCGGCUAACUCUGUGC
RNAcentral lists this ribosomal RNA (485 nucleotides) under uncultured Gammaproteobacteria bacterium. RNAcentral describes it as "bacterial SSU rRNA". It matches the Rfam family "Bacterial small subunit ribosomal RNA", at positions 30 to 508 of the family's 1533-position model. The record is from RNAcentral. Lineage: Bacteria; Pseudomonadati; Pseudomonadota; Gammaproteobacteria.